Molecule: long non-coding RNA, 3773 nt
Organism: Eriocheir sinensis (Chinese mitten crab)
Lineage: Eukaryota; Metazoa; Arthropoda; Malacostraca; Decapoda; Varunidae
Exons: 2
Source: RefSeq, a predicted model, not a curated record
CCGAGUCGGCCAAAGAGGUACCCCCCUGGCUAAGUGGGUUAUGGGAGGCUCGUUCAUCAGGCAUAGUCGCCUCACUACAGUGACAGAGGAUCUUCCUCCCUCGAUGCUUAACUGAUGGGCCGUGAAGACAUCCAACUUUUCCUGAUAUUCCAUCCACCAAGCCUUAAUCUCGCACAGUUGAGGGUCACCAGGGGAUGCUAUCCUCUCGGGGGUUCCGUGUCCCUGCCCACGGCUGGCAAUCCCUACAAUCCCUGAUCUGGACGGGUUGGGUUGGGGCCUCCUCAUAGAGUGAUGCCCCACCUCAGUGCAUCCACUUUAAGUGAGCCUGCCACAAGUGAUGGGUGCAGGGCAAAGCCUUUGGGACCAUUGCAUCUCAAAGAAGGAAGGCCUCCUAGCCCCUCUUUUUAUUUUGGGGUGGUCAGGGAGGUGCAGAGGCAGCGCUCACAGAGGGAUCAGCCCGGGAUCAGCCUUUAGAUGGAUAUGCAUGUGGGCUCCUGGAACUUUGAGCCUCUCUGAGGACCACCGACUGCCCUACUCAGCGAAUGAGCUCAGAAGGCUGGGGUGGACAUAGUAGGACUCUUGAGACGAGGAGGCUUGGUAGUGACAAGCAGUAGUGGAGGUAAAUUUACCAUUGGUCUGGCAAGAACAGUGGUGCCUGUCUUAGGGGAGCAGCUAUGGGCAUCUCCAGCCAACUGCUGCCAUUUUUGGUUGAGGUUACUCUGGAUGAUGAGCGUAUAAUGUGAAUGAGGCUGAAGCACACACUGGGCUUCAUGUCUCUUGUUGCAGUGUACACUCCUACCGAGAUGUGUUAGACUGAAGAGAAAAUAAGACACAAUCAUUGUCUUGGGUGACUUCACUGUGACUACUGGCACUGACAGAGAUGGCCAGGUUGCCACCUUGAGCUCACAAAAAUAAGGAACGCAACACCUCACUCUCCAAUACGGAACAAAUCUGUAUUUUAAGGAACGGGUGAUAACUAUAAAUUUCUCUAGCCUGCCAUGACUGACAGCCGCUGCUGGUGGAGGCAGGAGGAAGGGGAGGAAUGUUACAUCCCGUACUUUACACACAUUUUAGGAAGACCCUUGACAAAUACAUAAUAUUACAGAUUGGUUUUGUGACUGACUGAAAAGUGCACUUAUAAAAUUUUAAAAUACUGAGUUUUAUCUGCUUGAUCAUUCAGACAGCCAAAUAUGGAACAAAUGGCAUUCCGUUUUAGCUCAAAACAGGAUGCAACAUCUCACUCAAAUACAGAAUGAAACCAUGUUUUAAGGAACGGGUGGCAACCCUAGAGACAGCAUGAAGUUGUGUUGGUCCUCAUGGCUCUGGCACCAGGAACACCGACAGCUCUCUGCUCCUGAAUGUUACAAGAUCCAGCAGGUUGAGCAUUGUGGGUUCUUGUUACCAGAGACCAGAGCUGGUCUUGGUAUAGUGAUGCCGAAGGGGUAGCUAAGGAGACUGACCACAUCCCCUAAGUACUCAUUGGAGGAUCCUCUAGAACUGCUGAGUUCUUUGGAACUGAUCACAGGCUUGUUGUUGCAACACUCAAGCUUCAUGUCAGGUCAAGAAGAAUCUCAAGAUGCAACAAUACUGUGUUCUUGAGAGGCUGAAAGACCUGACAUUUGCUCAGGAGUAUGCAGACAGCCUCAAAUUGGUUCAAUGUCCUCGGCACCUUUGAGGACCCUGUAGAACAGUGGGACACCUUCAAAUGUGAGACUCUUCAAGCUGCCAAGGAGUGCAUUGAAGAGUGCCCGAGAUCUGGGAGUGGUUUUUCCUCAGCAGAGACACUGGAGAAUAUUGAGGAGAGUCGCCCUGACAGGCUUGCUGAGAAUCAGGACCAAUAUAGGGGUCUGUGGCAUAGAACUAGAGCUCUCCUGAGGAGAGACAAAGAGAGGCAUGUCAGGGGUCUUGUUAUGGAUGUCAAGGACCAUUUCAAUAUGAAUGACCUCCAACCUGCUUACCAAGCCCUGAAGAAGCUCUGCUCUGAGCCACCCUCUCAGGUGAGCGCUAUCCAAACAGCAGACAGCUGCCUUGUGUCGGAUAUGGAAGGGCCAAGGGCUCACUGGGCUGAGUACUUUGCUUCCCAAGGCAUCACCUCCACCUCCCGACACAUCCUCCGCCUCCACUCUGAAGAUUAGUUUCCCUUCACCACUUAAAGCCAGUCCACACAUGCCAGCUGUGUCACAUUUUCAAGGUAGUAUUAAAGGUCUUAUUCAAGUUAUUAUUAACUUUAUUUCAUUUAUUACACGUUUUGUUUACCAGUAUAUAUAGUCUGUAUUAUUCCUGAACGCCCAUUGCUGCAUGCUCACCCUACACACACACACUACACUGCUGUACAAUCUUGUAUAUCUUCACACUGCACACCUGUUUCUUCAUGUUCACCCAACACACACACACAAUGCUGUACAAUCUUGCAUAUCUUCACACUGCACACCAAUUUCUUCAUCUUCACCCUUCACACACUAUACUACUGUACAAUCUUGUAUAUGUACACACGCUACUUACAAAGCACUGCUUGCACCUGAGCCAGUUGGUAAGUAGGGGAAGCUCUGUGCUUAUGAAGAGAAAUUGAGCUAACAGUUAAUGUCCCAACUCAGUGUUGUGGUAAACGGUCUUAUGUAGCUUGUGUUCUCUUGGCUCGACAGUGCUUCUGCGGCACUCCCAAGUGUGGCGGAGAAGACUGCAGAGCAAGUUGUAGCCGCCCUGCAAGCUCUCCCGCACUAAGAGAUGCCACUCAUUAACAACUCAAAAACCGAUAACAACUUCAAAACUUUCUUUCAGUAAAGGUAAAGUUUGGGACGCGCUAUACCUGUGUGCGGCUCGGUACUCGCCACCAUCACACUGGCCCGUGAGCUUGCGCUGGGCAAGAGCUCAUGACCCAGGGACAGAGGCCAGGUGUGACAUGUGGGUUACUACAGUUUACCUCCCUACAGCACCCCCAAACCUACCCAUGAAGGUGGAAAAAGUCUAUUAGUGCUACGUAGCCAUAUUUAAUAUAUACAGAACAUUUUAUGCACAUUUUCAAAAAGUAAAUAGCUGACAUAUGAGAUUGAUGUGCUGGGGAGUCGCAGGACCCACACAAAUGGACUUCUUGAUUGUGUUUAACUAUAAUCAUGCAACCACCCACCACGCAGGCAACAACACUUUUUUUGCCCUUUGUUAUGACCCACAAACCUCAGUUUUUAUUAUUUUUUCUUGGUCUGUUUGUCACACUGUUAUCAACAAAGAAAACUAAUAUGUUCGAAGCAGUCAUUAACUACACGUGGUUUACAGAAAGCUGGUAAGGAACGGCGCCUGACUGAUGCUGGAACUGACCUCGAGGGAGUGGCCGAGGAGGGACAGCCUGUGGGGUGGGCAAAGGAACCCUUUUGCCUGAGCUCCAACUGUGUCAGACUUCAAAGUGCACUGAUGGCAACCUCUUCAAUCCAGUCAUCCCAGACUCCCGUGCAGUGUCCCCCUCAGCCCUGACGAGGCAGCACACCCAGGUGGUCCCUCGGCAGUCCCCACACCGCCCUCAGCACCACAGAGCCACCAGCCAUGUCAGAGGUCCUGCCCUGGUGACCUGCCUCCCCAGGACUGUGCAGACUCCCCCCACCAGGACGGGUGGCGGUGGUGACUGUUCACCCCACUGGGAGGUGCAGGACAGCCGGGGUGUUCUGGCAGCCUCCAUUCCCCAGGGAUCUUCUCACCUGGCAUGACUGGCCUUCCAGCAGUGCAACCUGAAGAAAGGGAAACAUUACACUAUUUUGUUCCUCACAGAAUAAAGCAUCAUGACA